UAGGACAAGGGGUAACGGGUUAAAACUUAAACAGGGGAAGUUUAGAUUGGAUAUAAGGAAGAAGUUCUUUCCUGUUAGGGUGGUGAGGCACUGGAAUGGGUUGCCCAGGGAAUUCCGAAUGCUCCAUCCCUGGCAGUGUUCAAGGCCAGGCUUGACAGAGCCUUAGCCUUGGGUGGCAUGGUUUAGUGUGAGGUGUC
Pezoporus occidentalis (night parrot) is the source of this 197-nucleotide long non-coding RNA. RefSeq lists it as uncharacterized. The transcript has 3 exons. Lineage: Eukaryota; Metazoa; Chordata; Aves; Psittaciformes; Psittacidae. The record is from RefSeq and is a predicted model, not a curated record.